GCGGGUUGUAGCUUCCGAGCUACGACCGAGAGGACAUCCGGUCCUGCUCGGCUGCUCUCUAGACAAGUUUUGGCAGGAAGACUUGUGUGUGACGUUGCUCUUCCCGUAGGACAAAUUCACCUGGCUGGAGAUCAACACCUGUGAGGAGACGUAUCAAGAGAACCGAGCAAUGUGGUCAGUGAAGGAAAUGUGCUUCUAAGCUGAAGGCUAUUUAUAUAUGUGACGCAAAAGAAAAAAAAGGCCCCUGUUUUAUUCAGUGAUCAAAAAACAAGCGGUCGGGUGUUAAUGGACUUCACCUCAGACAUUCCGGCGGACCCUCGGGGGACACGCCGCCCGUGGACUCGACAAGGGAGCGCUCGGCACCGGCCUGCUUAAUGAAGCCGUUUGCGGAGACGGAGGGACGCGAACGCCAUCAUGGAGCGUCUGAAAUGAAAGCGAAGAGCCGGCUGCUACGAUAAUGCAGUUCUUUCAUUCACCAGAGGGAAAGCUGUUUGUAGUCCCGACUGAUGGGGGGCGCCCCGGGCCACCGGCGUGCGAUGAAACAGAAGGCUGAGCUUCAAAACCUUGCUGCUGGAUAAUCGAGAGCAAUGAAUUAGUGUAAUGUCUUCUCACGUGACCUAAAAG
Molecule: long non-coding RNA, 624 nt
Organism: Gasterosteus aculeatus aculeatus (three-spined stickleback)
Lineage: Eukaryota; Metazoa; Chordata; Actinopteri; Perciformes; Gasterosteidae
Source: Ensembl